GGCCCGUUCGUCUAUCGGCUAGGACGCCAGGUUUUCAUCCUUUUUCAUCCUGGUAAGAGGGGUUCGAUUCCCCUACGGGCUA
This 82-nucleotide transfer RNA is filed under the name Mangrovimonas sp. DI 80. It matches the Rfam family "tRNA". From Rfam's summary of the family: Transfer RNA (tRNA) molecules are approximately 80 nucleotides in length. Their secondary structure includes four short double-helical elements and three loops (D, anti-codon, and T loops). Lineage: Bacteria; Pseudomonadati; Bacteroidota; Flavobacteriia; Flavobacteriales; Flavobacteriaceae. The record is from Rfam by way of RNAcentral.